RNAcentral lists this ribosomal RNA (468 nucleotides) under uncultured bacterium. RNAcentral's name for it is "partial 16S ribosomal RNA". It matches the Rfam family "Bacterial small subunit ribosomal RNA", at positions 28 to 507 of the family's 1533-position model. The record is from RNAcentral.
GACGAACGCUGGCGGCGUGCUUAACACAUGCAAGUCGAACGGAAAGGCCCUGCUUUUGUGGGGUGCUCGAGUGGCGAACGGGUGAGUAACACGUGAGUAACCUGCCCUUGACUUUGGGAUAACUUCAGGAAACUGGGGCUAAUACCGGAUAGGAGCUCCUGCUGCAUGGUGGGGGUUGGAAAGUUUCGGCGGUUGGGGAUGGACUCGCGGCUUAUCAGCUUGUUGGUGGGGUAGUGGCUUACCAAGGCUUUGACGGGUAGCCGGCCUGAGAGGGUGACCGGCCACAUUGGGACUGCGAUACGGCCCAGACUCCUACGGGAGGCAGCAGUGGGGAAUAUUGCACAAUGGGCGGAAGCCUGAUGCAGCAGCCCCGCGUGCGGGAUGACGGCCUUCGGGUGGUAAACCGCUUUCGCCUGUGACGAAGCGUGUGUGACGGUAAUGGGUAAAGAAGCACCGGCUAACUACGUG